ACGGGUGAGUAACGCGUGGGAAUCUACCCAACCCUACGGAAUAACGCAUGGAAACGUGUGCUAAUACCGUAUACGCCCUUCGGGGGAAAGAUUUAUCGGGGAUGGAUGAGCCCGCGUUGGAUUAGCUAGUUGGUGGGGUAAAGGCCUACCAAGGCGACGAUCCAUAGCUGGUCUGAGAGGAUGAUCAGCCACAUUGGGACUGAGACACGGCCCAAACUCCUACGGGAGGCAGCAGUGGGGAAUAUUGGACAAUGGGCGCAAGCCUGAUCCAGCCAUGCCGCGUGAGUGAUGAAGGCCCUAGGGUUGUAAAGCUCUUUCACCGAUGAAGAUAAUGACGGUAGUCGGAGAAGAAGCCCCGGCUAACUUCGUGCCAGCAGCCGCGGUAAUACGAAGGGGGCUAGCGUUGUUCGGAAUUACUGGGCGUAAAGCGCACGUAGGCGGAUAUUUAAGUCAGGGGCGAAAUCCCAGAGCUCAACUCUGGAACUGCCUUUGAUACUGGGUAUCUUGAGUAUGGAAGAGGUAAGUGGAAUUCCGAGUGUAGAGGUGAAAUUCGUAGA
Molecule: ribosomal RNA, 557 nt
Filed under: uncultured bacterium
Lineage: Bacteria
Description: bacterial SSU rRNA
Rfam family: Bacterial small subunit ribosomal RNA
Source: RNAcentral